CAGCCGCCACGGUAAUACGUAGGUGGCAAGCGUUGUCCGGAAUUAUUGGGCGUAAAGCGCGCGCAGGCGGAUAGGUCAGUCUGUCUUAAAAGUUCGGGGCUUAACCCCGUGAUGGGAUGGAAACUGCCAAUCUAGAGUAUCGGAGAGGAAAGUGGAAUUCCUAGUGUAGCGGUGAAAUGCGUAGAUAUUAGGAAGAACACCAGUGGCGAAGGCGACUUUCUGGACGAAAACUGACGCUGAGGCGCGAAAGCCAGGGGAGCGAACGGGAUUAGAGACCCCUGUAGUCCCUGUCUCUUAUACA
This 301-nucleotide ribosomal RNA is filed under the name uncultured bacterium. Its description in RNAcentral is "partial 16S ribosomal RNA". It matches the Rfam family "Bacterial small subunit ribosomal RNA", at positions 509 to 809 of the family's 1533-position model. The record is from RNAcentral.